The sequence is an unclassified non-coding RNA, 274 nucleotides long. The stretch from base 1 to 52 matches the Rfam family "5.8S ribosomal RNA", at positions 103 to 154 of the family's 154-position model.
AACGCACAUUGCGCUCCUUGGUAUUCCUAGGAGCAUGUCUGUCUGAGCGUCAGUACACACCCUCUGGUCGGGUUUUCUCCGUUGGAGGAUCCCCGACCGGGUACUGAGGGGAGCGUUCACCCGCCCCCUCUAAAGUGGAACGCCAGCGGCCCGCCUGCCCAUGAAAGACGUAGUAAACAAGCUCUCGUCCGCGAAAGGGUCGGUGCGUGGCUCGCCUCGACAUAUACACCUAAGGCUUGACCUCAGGUCAGACAAGAAUACCCGCUGAACUUAA